UACGUAGGGUGCAAGCGUUGUCCGGAAUUAUUGGGCGUAAAGAGCACGUAGGCGGUCUGUCGCGUCUGCUGUGAAAACUGGAGGCUCAACCUCCAGCCUGCAGUGGGUACGGGCAGACUAGAGUGCGGUAGGGGAGAAUGGAACUCCUGGUGUAGCGGUGGAAUGCGCAGAUAUCAGGAAGAACACCGAUGGCGAGGGCAGUUCUCUGGGCCGUAACUGACGCUGAGGAGCGAAAGCGUGGGGAGCGAAC
RNAcentral lists this ribosomal RNA (250 nucleotides) under uncultured prokaryote. RNAcentral's name for it is "partial 16S ribosomal RNA". It matches the Rfam family "Bacterial small subunit ribosomal RNA", at positions 524 to 773 of the family's 1533-position model. The record is from RNAcentral.